GGGCCCGCACAAGCGGCGGAGCAUGUGGAUUAAUUCGAUGCAACGCGAAGAACCUUACCUGGGUUUGACAUGCACCAGACGCGUCCAGAGAUGGGCGUUCCCUUGUGGCUGGUGUGCAGGUGGUGCAUGGCUGUCGUCAGCUCGUGUCGUGAGAUGUUGGGUUAAGUCCCGCAACGAGCGCAACCCUCGUCCUAUGUUGCCAGCGAGUAAUGUCGGGGACUCAUAGGAGACUGCCGGGGUCAACUCGGAGGAAGGUGGGGAUGACGUCAAGUCAUCAUGCCCCUUAUAUCCAGGGCUGCACACAUGCUACAAUGGCCGGUACAAAGAGCUGCGAUACCGCAAGGUGGAGCGAAUCUCAUAAAGCCGGUCUCAGUUCGGAUUGGGGUCUGCAACUCGACCCCAUGAAGUCGGAGUCGCUAGUAAUCGCAGA
RNAcentral lists this ribosomal RNA (430 nucleotides) under uncultured Actinomycetes bacterium. RNAcentral describes it as "bacterial SSU rRNA". It matches the Rfam family "Bacterial small subunit ribosomal RNA", at positions 917 to 1348 of the family's 1533-position model. Lineage: Bacteria; Bacillati; Actinomycetota; Actinomycetes. The record is from RNAcentral.